GCGAACUGAUUAGAAGCUUGCUUCUAUGACGUUAGCGGCGGACGGGUGAGUAACACGUGGGCAACCUGCCUGUAAGACUGGGAUAACUUCGGGAAACCGAAGCUAAUACCGGAUAGGAUCUUCUCCUUCAUGGGAGAUGAUUGAAAGAUGGUUUCGGCUAUCACUUACAGAUGGGCCCGCGGUGCAUUAGCUAGUUGGUGAGGUAACGGCUCACCAAGGCAACGAUGCAUAGCCGACCUGAGAGGGUGAUCGGCCACACUGGGACUGAGACACGGCCCAGACUCCUACGGGAGGCAGCAGUAGGGAAUCUUCCGCAAUGGACGAAAGUCUGACGGAGCAACGCCGCGUGAGUGAUGAAGGCUUUCGGGUCGUAAAACUCUGUUGUUAGGGAAGAACAAGUACGAGAGUAACUGCUCGUACCUUGACGGUACCUAACCAGAAAGCCACGGCUAACUACGUGCCAGCGGCC
This 469-nucleotide ribosomal RNA is filed under the name Priestia megaterium. RNAcentral's name for it is "bacterial SSU rRNA". It matches the Rfam family "Bacterial small subunit ribosomal RNA", at positions 66 to 516 of the family's 1533-position model. The record is from RNAcentral. Lineage: Bacteria; Bacillati; Bacillota; Bacilli; Caryophanales; Bacillaceae.